RNAcentral lists this long non-coding RNA (5670 nucleotides) under Mustela putorius furo (domestic ferret). RNAcentral's name for it is "lncRNA (ENSMPUG00000024432.1)". Lineage: Eukaryota; Metazoa; Chordata; Mammalia; Carnivora; Mustelidae. The record is from RNAcentral.
AAAAACUCAGUACCACAGCCAUUUUGUUUGUAAGGCAGAGUGGUAGAAUUCUGUCAGCCAGUAAAGCUUUUUGAAACAGAAUUUUUAAGGAGGGAAAAAAAAAAGUGUGCCUAUUGUUUUAAAUUUAACCACCAAAGCCCUUUUAUUUUCGUUCCUUGCACCAAUGGUAGUUACUGCGGCUAACGAAUUCUGUUUUUACAAGGAAUCCAAGCUCCCCGAGCUACAGGAGUCUUGAAUUUUGUUCACGGAUUACUGCCUUCUUUAGGGACCCAAUGAUGUCAAAUCAAAACUGUUUUGAUGGCCAUAGUUUUCAAAUGGCCAUAUUUGUAUCCCCAUUACAUAUCGACGUUCGGGAAGUGAUAAACGAUUUGCUUAUGGAAAGCCUUCUCUUCCGCAAAAACCCACACACAGGAGGGAAGAGUGUUCCUGGAGCCGUUCAAAGGGCAUUUUCCCGAGCUCCCAGGCAGUCGUGGGAGCUAUUGUUUUGCAGUGUCACUUAAUAGCGAGCUUAGACUUUUGUCAUUUGGGUGGCUGUGCUUUUAAAAGCCCAGUGUAAAAUGGCACACACACUGCAUUUUUUUCCGAGCUGCAGGAGGCGGGGGGAGCGGGGGAUAGUGCAGACUGUAGGGACACUGCCCUCCUAACCAAUCAGAGCACGUCUGCUUGCCAUCGCAAAGUUGUUAACCCCAGAGUCUUCUGGCUGCCGCUGCCUCCUCUGCUUUUAAUCUUCGUGGAUAUUUCUCCGAUUUUUUCCAAACGCCCACAGAUCCUGGGGGAAGCCACCCCAUUCAGCCACUGAUCAUGGAAGAAAGUAUUACUUUUUAUUUACCAAAUAUUUUAAAGAUGUUUGAAGAUCCAUAUGCUGCCUGGAGGCUGUUGUUUCCAGGGACACAAGUAUUCAGCCUAUAUUGUUACAAUUAUUUUUCAAGAACUGGCUUCUUCUCUGCCUACACCAAUGAAGCUGGAAGUCCAAGAUCAAGGUGCUGGCAGAUUCAGUGUCUGGUGACAGUCAUAAUGUCCAGCUGUGUCCUCUCAGCCAAAGAGGUGAGGGGGCUCUCUGGGGUCUGUUUUACAGAAGCACUAAUUCCAUUCAUGAGGUUUCUACCCUCAUGACCUAAACACCUCCCAAAGGUCCCACCUCCAAACACCAUCACAUUGGGGGUUAGAAUUUCAGUGUAUGAAUUUGAGGGGGAAUAUAAGCAUUCAGUCUAUAGCAGUUUCCAUAAUUGCAGAAAGUUCUAUUGGAUAGCACUAGUGCUUGUGCUUGGCUGUGCUUGGCUCACACUAUUAUUACACCAGGGCUUCUCAACUUCCUGUAGUUACCAUCAUCCAGAAACUUAAAAACAAAAUGCCCGCACCCCACGCCCAGAGAUUGGCCUGGAUCAGAUCUUGGCAUAAGCAUUUCCCAAAAGCUAUUCACAGGAUUCCAAUAUACAGCUGGAGUUGAGAAUUGCUAAGUUCCUCUACUGAAGUAAGCCACUAAACCAAAAAAUGAAGAGGUCAGUCGAUUAGUGCUGCUACUUCUCAUCUCAAUAGUUCAAAACCUACAGUCACAUCUCCUAGAAAGUGAGGAAGGUUCAAACCCAGGUAAAGAAUAACUGGACAGUGUGGCCAGUUCUGUGGGAUAAACCAUUAAGUUGACCGCCUAAUGAACACCAGCUUUAGCUGGGAGAAAAACAGCCCAGUUACCACUAUUUGUUUUGCAUACUGAAAGACCAUUCUGAAGUUAAUUUGAAUUUUCAAAAGGUAAUAUGAAAUUUAUUAAUGUUACUAUCCAAGGAAGCUCUCCCUAAUGUUUUUAAAUUUAGUUCACAAAUCUUAUCAUAUUUAUAAAUCUGGCAAAUUUUAAAAAUCAUGGACCUUUAAAAUUUGGUCUUAUUUAUACUAUUACUUGAUUAAAUACCUUCCAACUUUGUAUUCCUCUUUAUACUGCAUUUAUAAAUUUACUGCAUACAGCUGCCUCUUUUGGUAUCUAAUAACCAGUUUCAAGAAGUCAAGAAAGUCUUAUAUAUCUAAUAAAUUUAUGAUUCUUAAGUUCUCUAAUGUUUCAAUACUAUAUAUAAUUUUGUAGGAAUUGUACUUUAAAGUCUAAUAGGCUGUCCUCUUACUCCAAUUGGUCAAGUGUUCUUAAAGAGAACAAUUAAUCUACAUUAAAAACACUUUUGUACUUAUUGUACAUCUUUCUGGAGUUAAAAGCUUCUUACCUGCUAAGAAAACAGUUAUGUCCUACCUAACAAUUUUGGGUGAUGCCUUCCCAAGUAAAUUUUUUGAUCUGCCUUUUCAAUAAACUGGUUUCUUGAUGAGCAGAGGUUUGGGUGGAACAGACUAGAUCCUUGGCUGAGACAUUGAUGGAUCAUUCUGAACCUUACUGACAUUCAUUGUAUCCCUAUACCCCACCCCACAAAAAGUGAGUCAUAUCUUUACCUUUUUUUAAGUCAGGUUAGAAUCUUUGAUCCUCACACACACAAAUGGCUACAAUGAACAAAUAUUUAGGUUGCACGUUUCUUAAUCCUUUAGAAUAGAUAACUGUCCUUUUUUCUUAAUCUAGACACCUUUGAACUUGGCUGAAUCUCUCACAUUCUGUCUUACAGGACAAUCAACUCUUGGAGAUACUAACAGAUCUUUAAUUGACACUGAAUCUCUCUAUGAUUUUGUCUAGGUCUACAUUUUCCAAGCAUAUUCUGUUGACAAGUUUGUUUUUUUUUUGACCCCUAGAAUGGCUGACUAGAAGCCUCUCCGUACAUAUACAUUUCUAUUGAAAACAUUAUGAGAACACAGCUUUGCCUGAUUUGUUUGUGUUCUAGCUUUGCCCUUUAACUCAUUAUAGUCUAACAACAGCCUCGUGAGGAAGGAAUAUUACCUUGUUUCAAAGAAGAGGAAACUGAGGGUCUGCACAGUUAAGUAACUUGGGCCAGUUACCCUCCUCAUGUGGCUGUUUUGAGACUACGAUGAGUUAAAGCACUUAAACCACCAAGAAAGCACCAAGUGCCUGAUAAUGUCGUAAACAUCCAGUAUAUGCCAUGCGUUUAUUUUUUCAUAGACACCGCUGAUUUCAAGGACCUAAACAGGCAUUACACAGUGUGUUAGGAAUUAAAAACGUCAUCUGAUUUAGGCAUAUGGGUAUCACAAUAUUAUUAGAGAGGCUCUCAUUAUCCUCUGCAGUUACUCUCAAAAGUUAGUAAGUCCAAUAGUAUCUCCAGCAAUUAAGGUUUCUUUGUUACCUGCUCUUCACUCACUAAAUAAAUCUUUAUCAGGCUUCUUAAAAACAACAGCAACAACACUAUCCUGAGCCUUAACAGAUUAGAAGAGAAGCAGUUGGGAAUUGGGGUGAACUUCAUGGAGAAGAUACUUUUGACCAGAGCCUUGAAAGACACAUAGAUUUUCGAUAUGUAGACAUUGAGAGAAGACUUUCCAGGUAAGUAAGGAAAGUAGUGGGGCACAGGCAACGAGGAGAGAAAACACAUGGCAUUUGGAAAUACCAGCUAGAAGCCCAGUGUGGGUAGAAAGUUAGCUAUAAUGUGUGGGAAUUAGAGAGUGGGAGAGAUGGACCUGCGAUGGUACCUUGGAACCAACACAAGGAGGUUUUGGAAUCCCAAGCUAAGGAAUUUGGAAAUCAGUCAUUUCCAAUAGAAUACCAAUUCAAGUUCUUGUUAGCCAAAAAAUGGUGAUGGGAUAAAUAGUUCUUUCUUAUUUUACCAUUUACCUAUUAGCCUGAGUAGGGGAAAACUUCAGUGGUCUGGAUCUCUUGCUAGGUAAGUUUUGAUGGGGAGAACAUGGAGAAGUAGGAAAGGUUGAAAAGUUUGGGACAGUUUUUAGUAAGUGUGGACACUGGGCAGCAGGGGGCAGCAGGAGGGCACCUAAAAGUCAAAUGAAUGCAUAGGGCAUUUGCUUCUGUAAUAUUGCUUGACCAUUAUAAAUUUACAUAAUAUAGGCUACUUAUAUUAAUAAUAACUUAGCAUUCUUUCCCCAAAAAUGAAGAGAAAUUAAAAGAGAAAAGAAGAAAAGUAACAGGCUGGCUGAUGGCAGAAUGACAUUGCUGCUUAUUUGAGAGCAUAGAAAUGAACAGUUGUCUAUGUGUUAUUUCUUUUCAGAGUUCAUAUAAGUUUGAAAAUGUCUAAAUUUAAAUUGGAAAGCAUUUAAAUUUUCAAAUUUUCAUUUAGAAGUUUUCAUUUAGAAAACUUUUAUGACUCUUAAAGAUUCUACAUUUUUUUGAAGUACCCUUGUUCAGCUACACUGAUAUCCUGCAUUCCUUAAAGAAACUGGUUAAAGAGAGAGAGGGAGAGAAAAAAAAACACUUGAAAAUAAAAUUGUACUUAAAUCAUGAACAGAAAUUUUAAUACACACCCUAUUUUACAUACCAAAUAUAUGGAAUUUUGAAUUUUGGCUUUUAUGCUCAUGAAAUUUUUGGACAUCCAAAUGAAGUUUUUUUCUUUAUAUCUAAAAUUCGGUGGGACACCUGGGUGGCUCAGUCAGUUAAGCAUCUGCCUUUAGCUCAGGUCGUGAUCCUGGGGUCCUGGGAUUGAGUCCCGCAUCAGGUUCCUUGCUCAGGGGGAGCCUGCUUCUCCCACUGCAAGGCACCUGUGCUCCCUCUCUCUUUGUGUUAAAUAAAUAAAAUAUUUUUUAAAAAAUAAGGUAAAAUUUGAGACUAUCUACACUGUAUGUCUACAUUAUAUUUUUCAGGUGAAAUUCACCUCUUACUAACCUGUUCAAAAAUUUGGAUGGUUCAUGGGCACCUGGGUGGUGCAGUGGGUUGAGCGUCUGUCUUUGGCUUCUGGUCACAAUCCCAGAGUCCUGGGAUUGAGUCCCACCUCAGGCUCCCUCCUUGGCUGGGAGUCUGCUUCUCCCUCUUCCUAUGCCCCUCCCCCCUGCUUGUGUGUACUCUCUCUCCCUCUCUCUCUCUCAUGUUCUGUCUCUCUCAGAUCAAUAAGUAAAUAAAAUAUACUUUAAGUUUAGAUGGUUCAUGAUAUUAAGAGUAGAAAAUGAGAAGCUUCCAUGUAGAUGUUUUGUUUUUGUUUUUGUUUUUUUAGCUCUGGGAUUUACCUUUGUGAAUGCUUCAUUACACCCACCAGAAAAUAGCUCUUUCUCUCCUUGUGUGAGGAAGAUGUAUAAUAAUGUGAGGAAGAGGUAUAAUAAUGCUCAUACACAACACACAUAGAAACUUUCUUUGUUCCUUCAUGAUUCUCUCAAUGCCCAUCACACAUGUUUAGAUGGUUGUGACCCCUGCGUGGGUCAUCCUUCAGGUGCUGCUUUUUGUUCCCUCAUUUCACCUUUCUGUAGAUGCUUCUCUCCAUGUAUUGACAUAUGUUAUACUUGUCACUUUAAAUGGCCACAUAAACUGAUGGCUGGCUAUUCUGUGCUUGUGGAAUAUUGAUUGCCACCUUCAUUCAGGAACAUCUGAAAUGAUGAACAAACUUUUGGUUUAAGGUCGUUGACCUGAGGGGCUCCUGAGUGCUGCAGUCAGUUAAGCAUCUGACUUGGUUUCUGCUCAGGUCAUGAUCCAAGGGUCGUGGGAUUAAGACCCCUGUCCAGUGCCAUACUCAAAAAGAGUCUGCUUAAAAUUCUCUCUCCUUGGGCACCUGGGUGGCUCAGUUGGUUAAGUUACUGCCUUCAGCUCAGGUCAUGAUCCUGGAGUCCCAGGAUCAAGUCCCACAUCAGGCUCCCUGCUCCACA